RNAcentral lists this ribosomal RNA (382 nucleotides) under uncultured eukaryote. RNAcentral's name for it is "partial 18S ribosomal RNA". It matches the Rfam family "Eukaryotic small subunit ribosomal RNA", at positions 592 to 976 of the family's 1831-position model. The record is from RNAcentral.
UGUAAGCGUAUACCAAAGUUGUUGCAGUUAAAACGCUCGUAGUCGGAAUUUGGCAGUUCCGGAUGUGUGCACGUCGUGUGCGCACUUCGCGGGGAUUGCUUUUGUGGUCUUGCGUAGGAUGAGGCACUUUUAUUAGUGAACGUCCUCACGCAACCACUUUUUACUCUGAGAAAAUCAGAGUGCUCAAAGCAGGCAUUUGCCGUGAAUGUAUUAGCAUGGAAUAAUAGAAUAGGACUUGGUUCUAUUUUGUUGGUUUGUUGGGACUGAGUAAUGAUUAAGAGGGACAGUUGGGGGCAUUUGUAUUUCGGUGCUAGAGGUGAAAUUCUUAGAUUACCGAAAGACAAACUGCUGCGAAAGCGUCUGCCAAGGAUGUUUUCAUUGA